This 530-nucleotide ribosomal RNA is filed under the name uncultured bacterium. Its description in RNAcentral is "partial 16S ribosomal RNA". It matches the Rfam family "Bacterial small subunit ribosomal RNA", at positions 355 to 874 of the family's 1533-position model. The record is from RNAcentral.
UGGGGAAUAUUGCACAAUGGGCGCAAGCCUGAUGCAGCCAUGCCGCGUGUGUGAAGAAGGCCUCGGGUUGUAAAGCACUUUCAGCGAGGAGGAAGGUGGUGAGCUUAAUACGCUCAUCAAUUGACGUUACUCGCAGAAGAAGCACCGGCUAACUCCGUGCCAGCAGCCGCGGUAAUACGGAGGGUGCAAGCGUUAAUCGGAAUUACUGGGCGUAAAGCGCACGCAGGCGGUUCGUUAAGUCAGAUGUGAAAUCCCCGGGCUCAACCUGGGAACUGCAUUUGAAAACUGGCAAGCUAGAGUCUCGUAGAGGGGGGUAGAAUUCCAGGUGUAGCGGUGAAAUGCGUAGAGAUCUGGAGGAAUACCGGUGGCGAAGGCGGCCCCCUGGACGAAGACUGACGCUCAGGUGCGAAAGCGUGGGGCAGCAAACAGGAUUAGAUACCCUGGUAGUCCACGCUGUAAAACGAUGUCGAUUUUGGAGGUUGUGCCCUUGAGGCGUGGCUUCCGGAGCUAACGCGUUAAAUCGACCGCCU